AAAUAUACAUGACUGAUUAAGGGAAGAAGGCUUGCUUCCCUUCAAGGAAUAAGUAGGUAGUUAAAAAAAAUUCAGUUAAGUAUGAUAUUUUUCCAUUUAAAAUCACUUUUGAAACUGAUUCUAUUAUAUACACAUCUUUGAUCUGGUAAAGAAAGAAAAAACAGGCCAGGGGUGGUGGCUCAUGUCUGUAAUCCCAGCACUUUGUGAGGCUGAGGUGGGUGGAUCACUUGUCAGGAGUUUGAGAUCAGCCUGAUAAACAUGGUAAAACCCCAUCUCUACUAAAAACACAAAAAUUAGCUGGGUAUUGUGGCGGGCAGCUAUAAUCCCAGUUAUGGGAGGCUGAGGCAGGAGAAUCACUUGAACCUGGGAGGCAGAG
Molecule: long non-coding RNA, 376 nt
Organism: Sapajus apella (tufted capuchin)
Lineage: Eukaryota; Metazoa; Chordata; Mammalia; Primates; Cebidae
Exons: 3
Source: RefSeq, a predicted model, not a curated record